GCCCCCGUCGUCUAGCCAGGCCUAGGACCCCGGUCUUUCAAGCCGGUAACACGGGUUCGAAUCCCGUCGGGGGCACCA
Molecule: transfer RNA, 78 nt
Filed under: Bacillota bacterium
Lineage: Bacteria; Bacillati; Bacillota
Also listed under: 2 other names
Description: Firmicutes bacterium (sediment metagenome) tRNA-Glu
Rfam family: tRNA
About the family: Transfer RNA (tRNA) molecules are approximately 80 nucleotides in length.
Source: RNAcentral